This 700-nucleotide ribosomal RNA is filed under the name Escherichia coli. Its description in RNAcentral is "bacterial SSU rRNA". It matches the Rfam family "Bacterial small subunit ribosomal RNA", at positions 78 to 774 of the family's 1533-position model. The record is from RNAcentral. Lineage: Bacteria; Pseudomonadati; Pseudomonadota; Gammaproteobacteria; Enterobacterales; Enterobacteriaceae.
UGCUGAUUUGCUGACGAGUGGCGGACGGCUGAUUAAUGUCUGGGAAACUGCCUGAUGGAGGGGGAUAACUACUGGAAACGGUAGCUAAUACCGCAUAACGUCGCAAGACCAAAGAGGGGGACCUUCGGGCCUCUUGCCAUCGGAUGUGCCCAGAUGGGAUUAGCUAGUAGGUGGGGUAACGGCUCACCUAGGCGACGAUCCCUAGCUGGUCUGAGAGGAUGACCAGCCACACUGGAACUGAGACACGGUCCAGACUCCUACGGGAGGCAGCAGUGGGGAAUAUUGCACAAUGGGCGCAAGCCUGAUGCAGCCAUGCCGCGUGUAUGAAGAAGGCCUUCGGGUUGUAAAGUACUUUCAGCGGGGAGGAAGGGAGUAAAGUUAAUACCUUUGCUCAUUGACGUUACCCGCAGAAGAAGCACCGGCUAACUCCGUGCCAGCAGCCGCGGUAAUACGGAGGGUGCAAGCGUUAAUCGGAAUUACUGGGCGUAAAGCGCACGCAGGCGGUUUGUUAAGUCAGAUGUGAAAUCCCCGGGCUCAACCUGGGAACUGCAUCUGAUACUGGCAAGCUUGAGUCUCGUAGAGGGGGGUAGAAUUCCAGGUGUAGCGGUGAAAUGCGUAGAGAUCUGGAGGAAUACCGGUGGCGAAGGCGGCCCCCUGGACGAAGACUGACGCUCAGGUGCGAAAGCGUGGGGAGCAAACA